AUUGAACGCUGGCGGCAGGCCUAACACAUGCAAGUCGAGCGGAUGAAGGGAGCUUGCUCCUGGAUUCAGCGGCGGACGGGUGUGUAAUGCCUAGGAAUCUGCUUCGCAGUGGGGGAUAAUGUCUGGAAACGGGCGCUACUACUGCAUACGUCCUGCGGGUGAUAGUGGGGGAUCUUCGGACCUCACGCUAUCAGAUGAGCUUAGGUCGGACUAGUUAGUUGGUGGGGUAAAGGCCUACUUAGGCGACGAUCCGUAACUGGUCUGAGAGGAUGAUCAGUCACACUGGAACUGAGACAGGGUCCAGACUCCUACGGUAGGCAGCAGUGGGGAAUAUUGGAUAAUGGGCGAAAGCCUGGUCCAGCCAUGCCGCGUGUGUGAAGAAGGUCUUCGGAUUGGAAAGCACUUUAAGUUGGGGGGAAGGGCAGUAAGUUAAUACCUUGCUUUAUUGACGUUACCAACAGAAUAAGCACCGGCUAACUUCGUG
Molecule: ribosomal RNA, 484 nt
Filed under: uncultured bacterium
Lineage: Bacteria
Description: partial 16S ribosomal RNA
Rfam family: Bacterial small subunit ribosomal RNA
Source: RNAcentral